RNAcentral lists this ribosomal RNA (476 nucleotides) under uncultured bacterium. Its description in RNAcentral is "SSU rRNA". It matches the Rfam family "Bacterial small subunit ribosomal RNA", at positions 26 to 518 of the family's 1533-position model. The record is from RNAcentral.
AGGACAAACGCUGGCGGCGUACCUAAGACAUGCAAGUCGAACGAGGACUGAUCCUUCGGGGUCAGUGCGAGUGGCGGACGGGUGAGUAACGCGUAGGAACCUGACGCACAGUGGGGGAUAACGCUGGGAAACCGGCGCUAAGACCGCAUGUGGUCCGGCAACGGAAGAAAGCCAUUCAUGAAAGUGGAUGGUGCUGUGUGAGGGGCCUGCGUCCGAUUAGCUGGUUGGUGGGGUAAAGGCCUACCAAGGCGACGAUCGGUAGCUGGUCUGAGAGGAUGAUCAGCCACACUGGGACUGAGACACGGCCCAGACUCCUACGGGAGGCAGCAGUUAGGAAAUUUUCUCAAUGGGGAAACCCUGAAGGAGUAACGCCGCGUGCAGGAUGACGGCUUUCGGGUUGUAAACUGCUUUUCUGUGGGAAGAGGAAAGACGGUACCACAGGAAGAAGCCUCGGCUAACUACGUGCCAGCAGCCGC